GACGAACGCUGGCGGCGUGCUUAACACAUGCAAGUCGAACGGUGAAGGGGCCUGCUUUUGUGGGUCCUGGAUGAGUGGCGAACGGGUGAGUAACACGUGAGUAACCUGCCCCCUUCUUCUGGAUAACCGCAUGAAAGUGUGGCUAAUACGGGAUAUUCUGUGCCUGCUGCAUGGUGGGUGUGGGAAAGAUUGCGCCCUUUUUGGGUGUUUUUGGUGGGGGAUGGGCUCGCGGCCUAUCAGCUUGUUGGUGGGGUGAUGGCCUACCAAGGCGGUGACGGGUAGCCGGCCUGAGAGGGUGGACGGUCACACUGGGACUGAGACACGGCCCAGACUCCUACGGGAGGCAGCAGUGGGGAAUAUUGCACAAUGGGCGCAAGCCUGAUGCAGCGACGCCGCGUGAGGGAUGGAGGCCUUCGGGUUGUGAACCUCUUUCGCCAGUGAAGCAGGCCUGCUCCUUGGUGGGUGGGUUGACGGUAGCUGGAUAAGAAGCGCCGGCUAACUACGUGCCAGCAGCCGCGGUAAUACGUAGGGCGCGAGCGUUGUCCGGAAUUAUUGGGCGUAAAGAGCUCGUAGGCGGCUGGUCGCGUCUGUCGUGAAUCCUCUGGCUUAACUGGGGGCUUGCGGUGGGUACGGGCCGGCUUGAGUGCGGUAGGGGAGGCUGGAACUCCUGGUGUAGCGGUGGAAUGCGCAGAUAUCAGGAAGAACACCGGUGGCGAAGGCGGGUCUCUGGGCCGUUACUGACGCUGAGGAGCGAAAGCGUGGGGAGCGAACAGGAUUAGAUACCCUGGUAGUCCACGCCGUAAACGUUGGGCACUAGGUGUGGGGGGCCUUUUCCGGGUUUUCCGCGCCGUAGCUAACGCAUUAAGUGCCCCGCCUGGGGAGUACGGCCGCAAGGCUAAAACUCAAAGGAAUUGACGGGGGCCCGCACAAGCGGCGGAGCAUGCGGAUUAAUUCGAUGCAACGCGAAGAACCUUACCAAGGCUUGACAUGUGCCGGUCGGCUCCGGAGACGGGGUUUCCUCCUUGUGGGGCCGGUUCACAGGUGGUGCAUGGUUGUCGUCAGCUCGUGUCGUGAGAUGUUGGGUUAAGUCCCGCAACGAGCGCAACCCUUGUCUCGUGUUGCCAGCACGUUGUGGUGGGGACUCGCGGGAGACUGCCGGGGUCAACUCGGAGGAAGGUGGGGAUGACGUCAAAUCAUCAUGCCCCUUAUGUCUUGGGCUUCACGCAUGCUACAAUGGCCGGUACAGAGGGCUGCGAUACUGUGAGGUGGAGCGAAUCCCUUAAAGCCGGUCUCAGUUCGGAUCGGUGUCUGCAACUCGACACCGUGAAGUUGGAGUCGCUAGUAAUCGCAGAUCAGCAACGCUGCGGUGAAUACGUUCUCGGGCCU
This 1386-nucleotide ribosomal RNA is filed under the name uncultured bacterium. RNAcentral describes it as "bacterial SSU rRNA". It matches the Rfam family "Bacterial small subunit ribosomal RNA", at positions 28 to 1381 of the family's 1533-position model. The record is from RNAcentral.